CAGGUCUGUGAGGAUGAGAAGGUCUCCACAGUCUGGAGUCUGGUCUCUGACAGGCUCAACAUACCUGUCAAUCAACAGGGACUCCUCUACAAAGGCAAGGCGCUGGCAGGAUUACGAGCGGAGGCUGCGCUUGUUGAGCCUGGAUGAUAUGGAGCGGCUGGCGACCCGCAUGCUUCACCCUGAGGCGGUGGAGUGCAUGGAGCUGUCCUUCCUGGACUGAGGAAUACUGCUGCUGCCCUCUCCCCUCUCUCCUCCCCCUCUCCCCUCUCUCCUCCCCCCUCUCCCCUCUCUCCUCCCCCCUCUCCUCAUUACUCUCUCCUCCCCCUCUCCUCUCCUCUCCUUACUUUGUUUAAAAGAAUAGAAGCACACCCAGUGAGCAAGGCAUUGAGCAGCCCCACAUCCCGCUUCACAAUACCGCUACAUAUUGACUGACUGUUUGCAUUGUGUGUGUUUGGUAAGACAAACCACAUUUUCUACUUCUACUUUCUACGAUUGGGCAAGUCAGCGGUUGUUUGAUAACAGAACAUAAAACAUCACAGAGCGGGUUGAACUGCAUUGCUGCAAAUCAAGGCCCUUUAAAAUGUGUACCUUCCCAGCUCAGGUAUUGCUGAGGUAAAGAGACACUUCCUACAGGAGGACAGGACGUUGUCAAGGAGGGGAUGUCGUCACGUGUCCUGAGGGCUUUCUUAAAAACAUUGUUUUAUUAUUUCUAAGCGUACGUUGUUACUGCCUUUUAGCUCUUGAGCAUAAUAAUCUCAAUCCCGUUUGAAAUGACACUAAGUGCAUUUGCAUGGUGCAGAUGAGGGAUGUCGCUUCACUCGAGGCUUGCGUACUGAUGAAGAUGUAGUUUCAGUGUUUAAUGCUCAUCCCCUCACUGUGUGUGUUCUUGUCUCUCGCCUGUCCUGUGAGGAUGAAGAUGUAGUUUCAGUGUUUAAUGCUUAUCCCCUCACUGUGUGUGUGUGUGUUCUUGUCUCUCGCCUGUCCUGUGAGGAUGAAGAUGUAGUUUCCGUGUUUAAUGCUCAUCCCCUCACUGUGUGUGUGUGUGUGUGUGUGUGUGUGUGUUCUUGUCUCUCGCCUGUCCUGUGAGGAUGAAGAUGUAGUUUCAGUGUUUAAUGCUUGUCCCCUCACUGUGUGUGUGUGUGUUCUUGUCUCUCGUCUGUCCUGUGAGGAUGAAGAUGUAGUUUCCGUGUUUAAUGCUCAUCCCCUCAGUGUGUGUCUGUAUGUUCUUGUCUCUUGACAGGUCUUUGAGGAUGAGAAGGUCUCCACAGUCUGGAGUCUGGUCUCUGACAGGCUCAACAUACCUGUGAAUCAACAGGGACUCUUCUACAAAGGCAAGGCGCUGGCAGGUAGGCUGAACAGCACAGCACAGCACAGCACAGCUCACCCCUUGCCUCACCCCUCCUCUCACUCCUCACCUCACCCCGGGUCAGUGUGGCACAGCCUGCCUGCUCUUCUGAACAAACACUUCAGCCCUGCCGACGCAGUGAGAGUCUGGAGCAGCUAUACGAGGAUUACGAGCGGAGGCUGCGCUUGUUGAGCCUGGAUGAUAUGGAGCGGCUGGCGACCCGCAUGCUUCACCCUGAGGCUGCGGAGUGCAUGGAGCUGUCCUUCCUGGACUGAGGAAUACUGCUGCUGCCCUCUCCCCCUCUCCCCUCUCUCCUCCCCCUCUCAACUCCCCAGGCAGGGGAGGUGAGGAGAGGGAGGAGAGAGAGGAACCUGCUACUGAGGGAGCUGCAGCUCUGAGGAGAGGAGAGAGAGGAACCUGCAGCACUGAGAGGUCCAGGUUUGAAGCACUCACUCUUCAUUACUGAUAUUUAAUUCCAGAAGAAACACAAAAUAAAUAAAAAUCUGUGUUGAAGUCUUUGUAUUGGGGUUGUUCAUUUUAAAUGCCAUGUGUUUACAGUUACCAGUUCUACAUUAAACAGCAGAAAUAAUGUUACUGGCUUGCCAGACCCAAGAGCCUUUUCAUUUCUCAGGCUAGCAGACCCUGGCCUUGAAAAAAAGAAAUGCUGCUGCUGUUCUCCUCGGUUCUGCUUUUAUAAACUGGCACCUCUGCAUUGUUAACGAGCUUUGUGAAGCAGAGACGUCUUGUGUUAAUACAAUUCCAUUAUUAUUGAUUGAAUCUGCUUUUCAAAUGCUUGGUGUUUCAAACCGGCUUUAAAAUAACCUUUAUUAUUGAAGUGUGUUCAACAAUCAUUUAAAACAUGAGGCUCUUUCACAAAUCACUGUGAGGGCAAUGAGAAAGUGAAUACGAAACUACCAUGAAACUCCUCCACUAAAUAAACACAUUACAAAAUAGAAACAAAUAGACGUGCGCAUUGAAAACAGAAGAACGCAUUGUAGGCAUUUCAAAAUGAAAUAUACUGAGCCUCUCCGGGACCCGCCAGGACACAGCGGCGAGCGCUUAACCACAACAUUACUGGACAAGCCCGGCGGCUGACCGCCCCCAGCGGCGACCCGAGGAACUCGCAGGAUUUCCAGCGUCCUCGCUGAUCCACACAAACCUAACGACUCGUUCUCUUCAUCUGACGUGAAAGCGCACAACGGGUCUCUUUAUAGACCUGGCAGCGGUGACGUCAUAAGAACACCACCCACCUCCCCUCAUGUGAUAGGCUGCUUCUGUUCUGCUUUUCAGCCAAUCGGCCAUGCAGGGCGUCUUUCCCCCCCGAGUUAACAUCGUGACUGUGAAAUUGUGUGUGGCUUUGUGUGUUCAUGUUACUCUGUGUUCAUGUUAGUCCCUCGUCUCUGUAAGCGCUCAGUCCCGUCCCCAUUGUCUAAAACAAGCAACGGUACAUCGCAUCUCCUCUUCAGUCACUGCGUGUAAACUGGAGCACGUGAAGCGUCCUGUCUCCAACGCCAUAGAGUUCACACAAACUGUCUGCAAAUUAAAAAAACUGUUAUAUUAAAACAGCCCUCUGUGAAGCACUGACACGAACGUUUCUUUAUGUUAAACUUAAUGCAAUUCCAUCAGCUACACUCGUUCAUCUGCAAUUCAAAUGUUUGCUGAUUUCAAAACAAUACACGCGUCCAAAUUCAGAUUCCAAAAUACAUUUUAAAAAAGUUUUUUGAGUGGGUGCGGAGCCAAAGCGCAGGCAAGCAGGCAGUGAGGCACACUGCCCCCUCCUGUGGACACACACCGGUACUACAGCCAGAGGGGAAUGUGAUGCUGGGAGUCCUAGCAACACUGCAGCCGAAUUAAUGACGUGUAUUAUUAUGAUGAUGAUGACGAUGAUGUUUGUAGGAAUCACGAUUUCUGUGAUUUAUGACUCAUGCUGUGUUGGGCGUCUCGUAUUUUUAUCAGAGCGAUGUCAUUUUUCACAGUUUUGGUCGCUCAGCUUUCACGGGCAGUUUCCCUUCCCAAGCUCCAGAGGUUCACAGUGAAAACUGCGAACGCUAUCUUCACAAACAGCGACAGACGGGCCAAUCGGGGCGGGGACGUCACAAACGCGCUCGAGUCAUGCGGAGCCGCCGCCACGGAGGCGCUCGGCUCCCUCCAGUGGACACGCAGCGGUACUGCAGUCGGGAGCCGCUGGAAGAUUAUUUGAUGAAUUCCUUACCGAUACGUCUAUCUCGUGGAGAGAAAGUGGAACGGUUACGUCAUGUCCUAAACAAUCUGAUUGGAUAAAAGACAAGUCACAAAUUAAGUGACUUCUGAUUGGCGAACGCAUUUAGCGAAUCAAAAGUUAUAAAUGCGUUACCUAAUUUGUAUAGACCCUAUAGCUGUCCAAGGUGCGCACCUGUUUAAAAAUAUACAUUUAUUAUUAAUAAAACAUUUUUUUAGUACACGUGUCCACGUCAGUAUUUUAAUAAUAUUAUAUUUUCAUGCUUUUAGUGAAGAAUUGUUUUACUAUCAGUCAUAUUUUAAA
Long non-coding RNA from Acipenser ruthenus (sterlet), 3866 nucleotides. RefSeq lists it as uncharacterized. The record is from RefSeq and is a predicted model, not a curated record. The transcript is spliced from 3 exons. Lineage: Eukaryota; Metazoa; Chordata; Actinopteri; Acipenseriformes; Acipenseridae.